GGAGAGGUUACAUAGUGGAUGAGCGUUGUAACGUUUUGAGGGUUCGAGUCCCUUCCUCUCCU
Non-coding RNA from Streptococcus sp. HSISB1, 62 nucleotides. The record is from Rfam. Lineage: Bacteria; Bacillati; Bacillota; Bacilli; Lactobacillales; Streptococcaceae.